UAUUUUGGGAGAGAGUGUUUGUCCUGGCUCAGAUUGAACGCUGGCGGCAGGCUUAACACAUGCAAGUCGAGCGGUAGCACAGGGGAGCUUGCUCCCUGGGUGACGAGCGGCGGACGGGUGAGUAAUGUCUGGGAAACUGCCUGAUGGAGGGGGAUAACUACUGGAAACGGUAGCUAAUACCGCAUAACGUCGCAAGACCAAAGAGGGGGACCUUCGGGCCUCUUGCCAUCAGAUGUGCCCAGAUGGGAUUAGCUAGUAGGUGGGGUAAUGGCUCACCUAGGCGACGAUCCCUAGCUGGUCUGAGAGGAUGACCAGCCACACUGGAACUGAGACACGGUCCAGACUCCUACGGGAGGCAGCAGUGGGGAAUAUUGCACAAUGGGCGCAAGCCUGAUGCAGCCAUGCCGCGUGUGUGAAGAAGGCCUUCGGGUUGUAAAGCACUUUCAGCGAGGAGGAAGGUGGUGAACUUAAUACGUUCAUCAAUUGACGUUACUCGCAGAAGAAGCACCGGCUAACUCCGAGAUGUAAUUCGCGGUAAUACGGAGGGUGCAAGCGUUAAUCGGAAUUACUGGGCGUAAAGCGCACGCAGGCGGUUUGUUAAGUCAGAUGUGAAAUCCCCGGGCUCAACCUGGGAACUGCAUUUGAAACUGGCAAGCUAGAGUCUCGUAGAGGGGGGUAGAAUUCCAGGUGUAGCGGUGAAAUGCGUAGAGAUCUGGAGGAAUACCGGUGGCGAAGGCGGCCCCCUGGACGAAGACUGACGCUCAGUGCGAAACGUCUGCCC
This 781-nucleotide ribosomal RNA is filed under the name Serratia marcescens. RNAcentral's name for it is "bacterial SSU rRNA". It matches the Rfam family "Bacterial small subunit ribosomal RNA", at positions 1 to 767 of the family's 1533-position model. The record is from RNAcentral. Lineage: Bacteria; Pseudomonadati; Pseudomonadota; Gammaproteobacteria; Enterobacterales; Yersiniaceae.